This 1174-nucleotide ribosomal RNA is filed under the name Bacillus pumilus. Its description in RNAcentral is "bacterial SSU rRNA". It matches the Rfam family "Bacterial small subunit ribosomal RNA", at positions 338 to 1504 of the family's 1533-position model. Lineage: Bacteria; Bacillati; Bacillota; Bacilli; Caryophanales; Bacillaceae. The record is from RNAcentral.
CUUACGGGAGGCAGCAGGUAAGGAAUCUCGCCAAUGGACGAAAGUCUGACGGAGCACGCCGCGUGAGGUGAUGAAGGGUUUUCGGAUCGUAAAGCUCUGUUGUUAGGGAAGAACAAGUGCGAGAGUAGCUGCUCGCACCUUGACGGUACCUAACCAGAAAGCACGGCUAACUACGUGCCAGCAGCCGCGGUAAUACGUAGGUGGCAAGCGUUGUCCGGAAUUAUUGGGCGUAAAGGGCUCGCAGGCGGUUUCUUAAGUCUGAUGUGAAAGCCCCCGGCUCAACCGGGGAGGGUCAUUGGAAACUGGGAAACUUGAGUGCAGAAGAGGAGAGUGGAAUUCCACGUGUAGCGGUGAAAUGCGUAGAGAUGUGGAGGAACACCAGUGGCGAAGGCGACUCUCUGGUCUGUAACUGACGCUGAGGAGCGAAAGCGUGGGGAGCGAACAGGAUUAGAUACCCUGGUAGUCCACGCCGUAAACGAUGAGUGCUAAGUGUUAGGGGGUUUCCGCCCCUUAGUGCUGCAGCUAACGCAUUAAGCACUCCGCCUGGGGAGUACGGUCGCAAGACUGGAACUCAAAGGAAUUGACGGGGGCCCGCACAAGCGGUGGAGCAUGUGGUUUAAUUCGAAGCAACGCGAAGAACCUUACCAGGUCUUGACAUCCUCUGACAACCCUAGAGAUAGGGCUUUCCCUUCGGGGACAGAGUGACAGGUGGUGCAUGGUUGUCGUCAGCUCGUGUCGUGAGAUGUUGGGUUAAGUCCCGCAACGAGCGCAACCCUUGAUCUUAGUUGCCAGCAUUUAGUUGGGCACUCUAAGGUGACUGCCGGUGACAAACCGGAGGAAGGUGGGGAUGACGUCAAAUCAUCAUGCCCCUUAUGACCUGGGCUACACACGUGCUACAAUGGACAGAACAAAGGGCUGCGAGACCGCAAGGUUUAGCCAAUCCCAUAAAUCUGUUCUCAGUUCGGAUCGCAGUCUGCAACUCGACUGCGUGAAGCUGGAAUCGCUAGUAAUCGCGGAUCAGCAUGCCGCGGUGAAUACGUUCCCGGGCCUUGUACACACCGCCCGUCACACCACGAGAGUUUGCAACACCCGAAGUCGGUGAGGUAACCUUUAUGGAGCCAGCCGCCGAAGGUGGGGCAGAUGAUUGGGGUGAAGUCGUAACAAGGUAACCGUA